This 447-nucleotide ribosomal RNA is filed under the name uncultured bacterium. Its description in RNAcentral is "bacterial SSU rRNA". It matches the Rfam family "Bacterial small subunit ribosomal RNA", at positions 355 to 825 of the family's 1533-position model. The record is from RNAcentral.
UCGGGAAUUUUGGGCAAUGGGCGAAAGCCUGACCCAGCAACGCCGCGUGAAGGAUGAAGUAUUUCGGUAUGUAAACUUCGAAAGAAUAGGAAGAAUAAAUGACGGUACUAUUUAUAAGGUCCGGCUAACUACGUGCCAGCAGCCGCGGUAAUACGAAGGGGGCUAGCGUUGUUCGGAAUCACUGGGCGUAAAGCGCACGUAGGCGGAUUUGUAAGUCAGGGGUGAAAUCCCGGGGCUCAACCUCGGAACUGCCUUUGAUACUGCAAGUCUCGAGUUCGGGAGAGGUGAGUGGAAUUCCUAGUGUAGAGGUGAAAUUCGUAGAUAUCUGGAGGAACACCGGUGGCGAAGGCGGCAUCCUGGACCAAUACUGACACUGAGGAGCGAAAGCCAGGGGAGCAAACGGGAUUAGAUACCCCCGUAGUCCCUGAGCGGGCUGGCAAGGCGCAU